AAAAUCGGAACUUUUGUCUAAAACUAAGGUUUUUAUUUGAAUUUGAAUUUUGCAUAAUUCUUUAACAUAAUAAAUUAGAAGCUUGGGGGCACGAAAAAUUUACUUUUAUUAAUGGGUUUAAAUAGUUAACUGUUACAAAGAGACCCAUUAACAUAUUCCAUAGUUCAACAAAUCUUCAUCUUAAAUUCCCAAGAAAAAAGUCGUACGUCAAAUGAGAAGCAUCUAAUUUUCGGGUGAGGUUAUUGAUGCACUUCUCCCAAUCUCGUGUUGAUGAUCCCAAUAAAUAUAUGCACCCUUUCGGUAAUUCAACUACCAACAAAACUAACCUCACCCACCAAAUAUAUGAACAAAGAGAUUAAAAUUUCAAUAAAGCAAAAA
Molecule: long non-coding RNA, 378 nt
Organism: Drosophila innubila
Lineage: Eukaryota; Metazoa; Arthropoda; Insecta; Diptera; Drosophilidae
Exons: 2
Source: RefSeq, a predicted model, not a curated record